This 159-nucleotide ribosomal RNA is filed under the name Enterobacter hormaechei. RNAcentral's name for it is "partial 16S ribosomal RNA". It matches the Rfam family "Bacterial small subunit ribosomal RNA", at positions 1 to 155 of the family's 1533-position model. Lineage: Bacteria; Pseudomonadati; Pseudomonadota; Gammaproteobacteria; Enterobacterales; Enterobacteriaceae. The record is from RNAcentral.
AAAUUGAAGAGUUUGAUCAUGGCUCAGAUUGAACGCUGGCGGCAGGCCUAACACAUGCAAGUCGGGCGGUAACACAGGGAGCUUGCUCCUGGGUGACGAGCGGCGGACGGGUGAGUAAUGUCUGGGAAACUGCCUGAUGGAGGGGGAUAACUACUGGAA